This 515-nucleotide long non-coding RNA is filed under the name Androctonus crassicauda. The record is from RNAcentral. Lineage: Eukaryota; Metazoa; Arthropoda; Arachnida; Scorpiones; Buthidae.
GUUUUAAUGCUUUCACAUCCUGCAAUUUAAUUUUGAUGCUAUGCUCAUAUGCUCAUUUUGCUAAUGCCCUGAUGAGUUUGCAUUUAUUAUUGAUUUUUGAUGUUUUUCUAAUUUCUCCCUGAGGUUUCUCAUAUUCACUGCUAUAUAUUAUUCUAUUCUGUUUGGGCAUCAUUAUUGUAUAUGGAUAUUGUAUAUACUCCUGUUUGAUUUACACUAUUGUAUUUUUCUUUCUCAUUAUAAAGUAUGCUAAAAAUAGUUGCAUUUCAUUUGACUACAUACUUAUCCCUAAUUCUUUUUUUGAAUUUUUUUUAUCAUAUAUUUGGAACUUAUGGCAUGCAGUAUCAGCACAUAUUCAUUGCUUGGGACAGUAUGGGAUCUGUGGAAUAUCAUGCAGAAUUUUUAUUUCUUUUUAUCAUCAUUUAUAUUUUUCUUCUCAAUUUAAGUAUUAUAUUGCGUAUCUUUUAUUGUAACUGAUUAUAUUUUUUUAUUGUCAUAUUACCUGAUUUAUAUUGUUA